This is a long non-coding RNA of Hordeum vulgare subsp. vulgare (domesticated barley), 1298 nucleotides long. RefSeq lists it as uncharacterized. The record is from RefSeq and is a predicted model, not a curated record. The transcript is spliced from 2 exons. Lineage: Eukaryota; Viridiplantae; Streptophyta; Magnoliopsida; Poales; Poaceae.
CUCACAACCACCUCUCUGCCCGCGGUGUUGCACCACCCUAACCCCUCCAACGCGCCACCACCUCCCAUCCCCACGGCGCCUCACCACCCUCACUCUUCCCCGCGCCACCACCCCUCGACCACCUCUACCGCCGCGGCCCUGUCGCCAGCUGGUGCAUCUCCUUCACUGGCGUCCCUCCCAGCCCCGAUCACCGCACCCUCCACCAUCGCUCCCUCCCCAACGAGUGCAAGGAGCAGCGCUAGGAUCCCUCGCCGGUGAGGGCACACGGAAGCGACGACUACCCGUGUCGGAUCCUCUCCCAGGGCCACGUCUCCCUCAUCGACCCCAACGCCCACCCGCACCCUCCCCCCUACACCCAUCAUCCACCAACCCCUGGAGAAGCAAUAGUACCAGUCGACGGCCCCGUUCAUCGCGGUGCAGGAGGAGGCGGAUGGGCAGGGGGAGGGACUGGAUCUGAGGCUGUGCGUGCGCGGGAGGGAUGGCGGCGGCUGUGUCGUCAUCAUGGACCACAACUUUGCCCCACCCAUGCCAUGCUUCGCAUCGUCGAGCGGCCCCGCGUGCCCGUGAAGGUCUGAUCGUGCGUUGGGAGAGGGCCGGUGGUCGCAUCUGUGCCCAGGAAGCCGGAUCCCCCACGUGCGCCCAUCGAUAUGGGGUCACGGCCAUGAAGCUCAUCAAGCCCACCUGCUACUUGAGCAUCUCACUCCAUACCCUUGCAGUUCACCCACGGCGCCAUGCACCCACUUUGAAGUUCGUUUUAGUCACCAUUUACGCCAUCCACAUACAGGGAUCGUUGCAGUUCGUUUCCUAUGCAUGCAAUAGUAUUUUAUUUUCUCAUUUUUGGGUUCGCUGGAACCAAUGUGUAGUUUGAUUGGGCGUGCCAUGCGGUGUGGCAGGGCGUGCAAUGCGGUUUGGCACUCUGAACACCUGCAGGUGCUUCGUUGUGGUGGUAAACAUGGCUAGAACGAGAGCAGGGGUGGGCACCUCGUCUGGCUAGACUCCAAAACAUCGACGAGAUGCUUCGUCAUGGCCCUUGUGUGGUUUGUGCGCUUGCGAUUUGGCAGCCCUGGACGAGCAGCUAGCUUAUUUUGUUCUUGGGCAAUCUACUUGAAGUGUCAUUGCAGACUAGUUUUAGUUUGGCGGCCCUUGUUCGGUUACCAAGCCAUUUGUAGUCGGCCGACGGGCUGAGUUGUAGGGUUCUGGGAAUUUAUUUUUUAGGCACACUGUGUGUUGUUUUCAGGUGCAUGUAUAUGAUUUUGUUUUAAAAGAAGUCCUCCCAACACCGUGUUGUGGUUCAAUUC